Molecule: ribosomal RNA, 484 nt
Filed under: uncultured bacterium
Lineage: Bacteria
Description: partial 16S ribosomal RNA
Rfam family: Bacterial small subunit ribosomal RNA
Source: RNAcentral
GACGAACGCUGGCGGCGUGCUUAUCACAUGCAAGUCGAACGAUGAACCCGGAGCUUGCUCCGGUGGAUUAGUGGCGAACGGGUGAGUAACACGUGAGUAACCUGCCCUUGACUCUGGGAUAACUGCGGGAAACUGUAGCUAAUACCGGAUACGACCCUCGGCGGCAUCGCCAGGGGGUGGAAAGAAUUUCGGUCAAGGAUGGACUCGCGGCCUAUCAGCUAGUUGGUGAGGUAACGGCUCACCAAGGCGACGACGGGUAGCCGGCCUGAGAGGGUGACCGGCCACACUGGGACUGAGACACGGCCCAGACUCCUACGGGAGGCAGCAGUGGGGAAUAUCGCACAAUGGGCGCAAGCCUGAUGCAGCGACGCCGCGUGGGGGAUGACGGCCUUCGGGUUGUAAACCUCUUUCAGCACCGACGAAGCGCAAGUGACGGUAGGUGCAGAAGAAGGACCGGCCAACUACGUGCCAGCAGCCGCCGCAG